GCCCGCCUAGCUCAAUCGGAUAGAGCGUCAGACUCUUAAGUCAUAGGUGGAUCUGAAGGCUGCGAGUUCGACCCUCGCGGUGGGCU
Molecule: transfer RNA, 86 nt
Filed under: Lentinula raphanica
Lineage: Eukaryota; Fungi; Basidiomycota; Agaricomycetes; Agaricales; Omphalotaceae
Rfam family: tRNA
About the family: Transfer RNA (tRNA) molecules are approximately 80 nucleotides in length. Their secondary structure includes four short double-helical elements and three loops (D, anti-codon, and T loops). Further hydrogen bonds mediate the characteristic L-shaped molecular structure. tRNAs have two regions of fundamental functional importance: the anti-codon, which is responsible for specific mRNA codon recognition, and the 3' end, to which the tRNAs corresponding amino acid is attached (by aminoacyl-tRNA synthetases). tRNAs cope with the degeneracy of the genetic code in two manners: having more than one tRNA (with a specific anti-codon) for a particular amino acid; and 'wobble' base-pairing, i.e. permitting non-standard base-pairing at the 3rd anti-codon position.
Source: Rfam by way of RNAcentral